Molecule: long non-coding RNA, 341 nt
Filed under: Elaeis guineensis (African oil palm)
Lineage: Eukaryota; Viridiplantae; Streptophyta; Magnoliopsida; Arecales; Arecaceae
Description: long non-coding RNA (EGUI_LNC032373)
Source: RNAcentral
GCAUAGUGACAGAGAGAGUACUAGCUUAGUAUGGUGUUAUGUCCGUUACCUUUUAGGGGUCCUUUGAUUAUCUUUAUAUAGAAGAGAUGCAGGAGUUUGUUAUACCUAAAUCUGUAGAUUGUCAGGAUAGGUUGUCUGCCCACUAACUAGAUUGUUAAUCAUGAGUGUUUUGAUAUGGCCAUAUUUUGAAAGUUUGUUUGAAGAUUCUAACUAAUUAUCCACGUGACCCAACUAGUCGGUGCACUGAGGUCGGCCUAUGGCCAAGGUGUCAUUCCGAUCAGAUCUGCCUGGAGGUGGAUCAUGGGACCUUAUCUUUUAUGGUGAUGAGACCCCGACCUGAA